Molecule: ribosomal RNA, 243 nt
Filed under: uncultured bacterium
Lineage: Bacteria
Description: partial 16S ribosomal RNA
Rfam family: Bacterial small subunit ribosomal RNA
Source: RNAcentral
GAUUUCAUGGCUCAGGAUGAACGCUAGCGGCAGGCUUAACACAUGCAAGUCGAGGGGCAGCGCGGGAUAGCAAUAUCCUGGCGGCGACCGGCGGAAGGGUGCGUAACGCGUGAGCGACAUGCCCGUUGCCCGGGGACAACCGGUGGAAACGCCGACUAAUCCCCGAUGGGAUAUUGUGCCGCAUGGCACGAUAUUGAAAGUUACGGCGGCGACGGAUUGGCUCGCGUCCGAUUAGCUGGUUGG